CAAUUUCUAACGGGGUCCUGAACAACAACAAGCUUUCAGGCAGAUCAAGCAAGAGAUUGCACAUGCCGUGGCUCUUGGACCAGUCAGGAUGGGACCAGAUGUAAAGAAUGUGCUCUACUCUGCAGCUGGAGAUAAAGGUCCCUCCUGGAGCCUCUGGCAAAAGGUGCCUGGUGAGACGUGAGGGCGACCACUGGGUUUCCGGAGCCAAAGCUACAGAGGUUCUGAGGCCAAUUCCACCCCUGUGGAGAAGGAAAUCUUAGUGGUGUAUGAAGGCAUAUGAGCAGCUUCAGAGCUUUCAUAUUCAGCAAUGUCCUCGCUCCCGACAGACCAGGAUCCCCUUUCCAGAGUAAUGGAGGAGCACCGUGAUUUUUUAAUC
This is a long non-coding RNA of Neopelma chrysocephalum (saffron-crested tyrant-manakin), 376 nucleotides long. RefSeq lists it as uncharacterized. The record is from RefSeq and is a predicted model, not a curated record. NCBI's taxonomy places the organism in Eukaryota, Metazoa, Chordata, Aves, Passeriformes, Pipridae. The transcript has 2 exons.